CGGUUUGGAAACAGACCUUUCGCAAGACAGUUUACAAGGUGCUGCAUGGUUGUCGUCAGCUCGUGCCGUGAGGUGUCAGGUUAAGUCCUAUAACGAGCGCAACCCCUGUUGUUAGUUGCCAGCGAGUCAAGUCGGGAACUCUAACAAGACUGCCAGUGCAAACUGUGAGGAAGGUGGGGAUGACGUCAAAUCAUCACGGCCCUUACGCCUUGGGCUACACACGUGCUACAAUGGCCGGUACAGAGAGCAGCCACUGG
This 257-nucleotide ribosomal RNA is filed under the name Flavobacterium potami. RNAcentral describes it as "partial 16S ribosomal RNA". It matches the Rfam family "Bacterial small subunit ribosomal RNA", at positions 996 to 1256 of the family's 1533-position model. The record is from RNAcentral. Lineage: Bacteria; Pseudomonadati; Bacteroidota; Flavobacteriia; Flavobacteriales; Flavobacteriaceae.